CUAUACUCUGCCGUCAACGGCACAGGGGGCGGCACACUAGCGUGUGUCGGGCCGUUACGCCUUGACGAGUAGGAGGGUCGCGGCGGUGGGCGCAGAAGGGUCUGGGCGUGAGCCUGCCUGGAGCCGCCGUCGGCGCAGAUCUUGGUGGUAGUAGCAAAUACUCCAGCGAGGACCUGGAGGACUGACGUGGAGAAGGGUUUCUUGUGAACAGCUGUUGCACAAGAGUCAGUCGAUCCUAAGCCCUAGGAGAAAUCCUAUGUCGAUGGGGAGCCGUUUGAAAAUUGACGGGCGCGCUCAUCCAGCGCGCUUCCGAUAUCGGAAGGCAACCCACGGGGCGAAAGGGAAUCCGGUUCCUAUUCCGGAACCCGGCUGCGGAACCGUUCCUAAGCGGGCCCUCAUCCGAGUGCUCGACGGGGCAACCCGAAGAGACCCGGAGACGCCGGCGGGAGGUCCGGAGAGAGUUUUCUUUUCUCUAUAAGCGUUCGAGUUCCCUGGAAGCCUAUAGCAGGGAGAUAGGGUUUGGAACGCGAAGAGCACCGCAGUUGCGGCGGUGUCCGGAUCUUCCCCUCGGACCUUGAAAAUCCGGGAGAGGGCUACGCGGAAUGUCCGCGCCGGAUCGUACCCAUAUCCGCAGCAGGUCUCCAAGGUUA
Molecule: ribosomal RNA, 650 nt
Filed under: Cosmoscarta sp.
Lineage: Eukaryota; Metazoa; Arthropoda; Insecta; Hemiptera; Cercopidae
Description: partial large subunit ribosomal RNA
Rfam family: Eukaryotic large subunit ribosomal RNA
Source: RNAcentral